CGAUCACUGUUGUCAUUUUAAAAUUUGAAUGGACAGAGAUAAGAUGAUACAAAGAACUUUCAAAAUGGUGAAUCAAAAUUUAUUAUAAACAGAUAAAUUGAAAUGGGUGACUUGUCGAUAAACUGGAAGAAACCGGGGAACGAAACAUCGAAAAUUUAGAAUCUAUAGAAAGUCAACGCAACGAAACAGCGAAAGUAUUUUUGUUUUGAUGGAUAGUUUUACGUACCUAAAAGCACAACGAAAGCAUUUUCAAUGAAAGUACAUUUUGUACUUCAAGAAGUAGAAGAAUCUAAGCAACAGAACAGAAUUCAUUUGAGGCAUUGCUUUCUAGAUUAUAUAAUGGAUUCAUAGAUUGUCAUAUUGAUUUAAGUGCAUAUAAGGAGCAGCAGGCAAUAAUUAUUUUGUGAUGAGAGCUUGUUACCAUGGUUACCAAAUGAAAGGAAAGUGCAGUAUUAGAAUCACUGGUGUACAUGUAGGUGCGGCUGUCAGGCAAAAAGAACUGGUAUCAAAGAACUGAAAAGUAAAGAAACAGAACCAAAGAACAUUAAUUUUUAAUUAAUACAAUAUUGAGCUCAAA
Mytilus californianus (California mussel) is the source of this 577-nucleotide long non-coding RNA. RefSeq lists it as uncharacterized. The transcript has 4 exons. Lineage: Eukaryota; Metazoa; Mollusca; Bivalvia; Mytilida; Mytilidae. The record is from RefSeq and is a predicted model, not a curated record.